UACUAUAUAAUAGUUAAAACUUUCAACAACGGAUCUCUUGGUUCUGGCAUCGAUGAAGAACGCAGCGAAAUGCGAUAAGUAAUGUGAAUUGCAGAAUUCAGUGAAUCAUCGAAUCUUUGAACGCACAU
RNAcentral lists this ribosomal RNA (128 nucleotides) under Tricladium alaskense. RNAcentral's name for it is "5.8S ribosomal RNA". The stretch from base 18 to 128 matches the Rfam family "5.8S ribosomal RNA", at positions 1 to 111 of the family's 154-position model. From Rfam's summary of the family: 5.8S ribosomal RNA (5.8S rRNA) is a component of the large subunit of the eukaryotic ribosome. It is transcribed by RNA polymerase I as part of the 45S precursor that also contains 18S and 28S rRNA. RNAcentral also lists the same sequence under 1 other name. Lineage: Eukaryota; Fungi; Ascomycota; Leotiomycetes; Helotiales; Tricladiaceae. The record is from RNAcentral.